UGCAACGGCACAUGUGGCUUCCCACA
This 26-nucleotide non-coding RNA is filed under the name Mus musculus (house mouse). The record is from RNAcentral. Lineage: Eukaryota; Metazoa; Chordata; Mammalia; Rodentia; Muridae.